UACGGAGGGUGCGAGCGUUGUCCGGAAUCACUGGGCGUAAAGGGCGCGUAGGCGGUCCGCUAAGUGUGUGGUGAAAGCCCGGGGCUCAACCCCGGGUCUGCCGUGCAAACUGUCGGACUUGAGGACUGUAGAGGCAGGUGGAAUUCCGGGUGUAGCGGUGGAAUGCGUAGAGAUCCGGAAGAAGACCGGUGGCGAAGGCGACCUGCUGGGCAGUCACUGACGCUGAGGCGCGACAGCGUGGGGAGCAAACAGG
This 253-nucleotide ribosomal RNA is filed under the name uncultured bacterium. RNAcentral's name for it is "partial 16S ribosomal RNA". It matches the Rfam family "Bacterial small subunit ribosomal RNA", at positions 524 to 776 of the family's 1533-position model. The record is from RNAcentral.